UCAAUCAUUAAUCAUAUUUUUUGUGUAUCUUGUAAGAUCCUUCUUUCCCCAGUAAUUAUUGUUGACACCACUUUCAGAUCUCUGUCCAUGGUUGAUUAAUUAUUUGUUAAUUAUUCUCUCAUUUGUCAGUACUUUUGUAGAUUUAUUUGGCAUUUUCAAGUAUUUCAAUAGGCUCAUAGCAUCCAUUAAGGUUGAUCAGUUAAUUAGAUCUUUCCACUGUAUCUUCUAUUGGUUAAUGUGUUUCUUCGUAAAGGUAAGUUUAAAACAUGACAAUUUCAGGUACUUGCAUUGGCCACUCAUAACAUUCUGACAAUGUUGGUUUAGAGUUGACAUAACUUCUUAUUAUAUCUUUACUUCUACUGCCAUUGCCUUUGUAGCGCAGUAGCAAAAUACAACUAUAUUUUAUGGCAGUUUCUAUUUGCGAUCUAUGAAUCUAUUUCUAAAUUUUACCUAUUCAUCAUAACAUUAUUCAGUAUCACUCAUUCAUUCUAAUGCUAUAUUUCGGUUUGCGAAUUAUCAUCACCUACUGCUACUCGUACCAUUUCCCUAAUAUUUCUGCUUAUUACUGUCUAAUCAUCAUUUAGUGAUGGCCUUUUUGCUCAACAAGUGAUAGUUGAAAUCCAAUAGAUGAAAAUGGAUGGAUACUUGUGGAAUCAUAAUCAACAUCCAUAUAAAUACUUCAAGAAUUGCAGUUAACCCGGGCUCCCCUUAUUUUGUUUCCUUUACAUUAGAGAAAUUUAGAUUAUGUUCUUUCUUAUACCAAGUCAUUCUGAAUAUUUUAUUUCUUAUAUGUUUUUGAAAUAAAUUUGGUGUAGUUAUUGCUUUGAAAGUAGAGAAUAAUUGUAAAAGAAAAUGACACUGCAAGUUUGGAACUUACAAUUCGUGGUUUUGAACCAUAGGUGAGCUCGAUUGGAGUCACUGGUGCUCGUGUAUCUGUUAGUGGAAAGGUUCAAACUCUUCUACAGGAUAUUAAACAGGUUUGUCUUCUAUAGCAUCGCAUACCAAACCUUAAAAUGUAAUAGAACUAUCUUGUAUCUCAGUAUGAAAAAGGUAUGGUGUCCUUUUAAAGACACGACACAGUCAUGCCAUUAGGUAGAUUAAGACCAAUUGCAACUGUUUAACUUAUGUUUCAUGCUAUUCACACUUGUUUGGGUGAGCAACUGAAGUAUGUGGUGCAGACAUGGAUAGACUUGCCCUUUCAUCCCAACUUAUCGGAAUUGCUGCAUUUUUCGGGCCUUGAUACAACAUUUGGAUAGGCUUUCAAAUAAUGUGAAAUUGUAAUGAGAUGCGUAGUAUUGCGUAAUGCCUAGUAUCAUGAUUUUAGUCUUGAUCACGUGUUAAUUCCACUUUGUCUGGAAUGGCAUUUGAAUGUCUGACUUGUAGACUAGUCCUAUUUAGAGCCAUAGAUUUAUGAUGUGAUUGGUUUCUAUUGUGUUUUGGUGCUUUUUGACAGGCAACAAGUAAGCCUGUAGCAGUUGGCUUUGGCAUAUCAAAACCCGAGCAUGUGAAGCAGAUGGCAGGAUGGGGAGCUGACGGCGUGAUUGUUGGUAGUGCCAUGGUGAAACUACUGAGUGAGGCAAAAUCCCCUGAAGAAGGGCUGAAAGAAUUAGAAAUCUUCACUAAAUUGUUGAAAUCUGCACUGCCUUGGCGGCUAGUUCUGCCAUUUCAGAGUCAAUUUUGUAUCUUUAGCAUCACAUCUUUUUAGACUUUCAAAAUCAUCCGAAUUUUGAGUUUUUGUACAAAUUGGAUUCAAGCUUUUGACAAUGCUUCAUUUUAAAUUGAAAUAAUUCCAUCAAUGGAAACAUUAACUUCAGUAUACGCUCAAUUACUAUAAUGAUACCCAUGUUAUGUAAUCUCUACCCGAGCUUAAGUUUUUAACUCAAUUUGCAAUAAAAAUACGGCCUUCCGCUAAAUGUUUUCAUAAAUAUAGUUUAUUGAAAUUAUAGGCAAGCCUAACAAUUCCAUUAUAUUUGAACAUGUAAUCAUGCAAAGAAAUUCAGAAAGACAAACAACUAAGUGAAAAAAAGUGAUUCCGGAUACAAAACU
This is a non-coding RNA of Camellia sinensis, 2046 nucleotides long. NCBI's taxonomy places the organism in Eukaryota, Viridiplantae, Streptophyta, Magnoliopsida, Ericales, Theaceae. The record is from RefSeq and is a predicted model, not a curated record.